CACCAGACUCCUACGGGAGGCAGCAGUGGGGAAUAUUGCACAAUGGGGGAAACCCUGAUGCAGCGACGCCGCGUGAAGGAAGAAGUAUUUCGGUAUGUAAACUUCUAUCAGCAGGGAAGAAAAUGACGGUACCUGACUAAGAAGCCCCGGCUAACUACGUGCCAGCAGCCGCGGUAAUACGUAGGGGGCAAGCGUUAUCCGGAUUUACUGGGUGUAAAGGGGGCGCAGACGGCGAUGCAAGCCAGGAGUGAAAGCCCGGGGCCCAGCCCCGGGACUGCUCUUGGAACUGCGUGGCUGGAGUGCAGGAGGGGCAGGCGGAAUUCCUGGUGUAGCGGUGAAAUGCGUAGAUAUCAGGAGGAACACCGGUGGCGAAGGCGGCCUGCUGGACUGCAACUGACGUUGAGGCCCGAAAGCGUGGGGAGCAAACAGGAUUAGAUACCCUCGUAAC
Molecule: ribosomal RNA, 448 nt
Filed under: uncultured bacterium
Lineage: Bacteria
Description: bacterial SSU rRNA
Rfam family: Bacterial small subunit ribosomal RNA
Source: RNAcentral